GACGAACGCUGGCGGCGUGCUUAACACAUGCAAGUCGAACGGAAAGGCCCUGCUUUUGUGGGGUGCUCGAGUGGCGAACGGGUGAGUAACACGUGAGUAACCUGCCCUUGACUUUGGGAUAACUUCAGGAAACUGGGGCUAAUACCGGAUAGGAGCUCCUGCUGCAUGGAGGGGGUUGGAAAGUUUCGGCGGGUGGGGAUGGACUCGCGGCUUAUCAGCUUGUUGGUGGGGUAGUGGCUUACCAAGGCUUUGGCGGGUAGCCGGCCUGAGAGGGUGACCGGCCACAUUGGGACUGAGAUACGGCCCAGACUCCUACGGGAGGCAGCAGUGGGGAAUAUUGCACAAUGGGCGGAAGCCUGAUGCAGCAACGCCGCGUGCGGGAUGACGGCCUUCGGGUUGUAAACCGCUUUCGCCUGUGACGAAGCGUGAGUGACGGUAAUGGGUAAAGAAGCACCGGCUAACUACGUG
Molecule: ribosomal RNA, 468 nt
Filed under: uncultured bacterium
Lineage: Bacteria
Description: partial 16S ribosomal RNA
Rfam family: Bacterial small subunit ribosomal RNA
Source: RNAcentral